UUGUCCCCCUCGGCCGCGUCGGGUCCUGCUCCCGUGGUGUCCGUCGUCAUGGAAACCACCUGCAAGAUUCAUACCGCAGCGGUCCGCCCGCUCAUCCGAGCCGCCCGGUCACGGAAAGGCGCCGAACGUCACAACCGCUCGGCGAGAGGAGUGUCUUGUCUGCACUCACCUGGGACGGGCUUUUCUUCUUCUUUGGCGGUCCCGAGAAGAGCGGGCCCAGCCUGGAACAAAGACGGAGCACGCUAAGACGACGACGCCGAUCACGUCGCGGGUGAGCUGAAGCCGCGGCAGCGCCCGAAGGGUCGAAAGCGAGUCGCCCUUGCUUGGCAUCCAUCGGGAGCUCUCGACGCGCGAGGGCGGCGGAGGGGGCGUGGCCGGGAGCAAAUUGCAAUUUCAAUCGGCGGCGUCUUCGCGUGUCCCUCGACGCCGUUUUCAAGCACAUCGGCCGUCGGGAGCAAUGACGACAGAAGGCGGUUUUUCAAAUUUUUUUUUUGCGUUGUCGUUGGACGUCACCUUUUUCCCAUGACGGUGGCGCUCGUGGCCAUGCCCGCCCUGACGUGGCCGCGCGCCUGCUUGCAGCGGCGUC
This is a long non-coding RNA of Hippocampus comes (tiger tail seahorse), 586 nucleotides long. RefSeq lists it as uncharacterized. The record is from RefSeq and is a predicted model, not a curated record. The transcript is spliced from 2 exons. NCBI's taxonomy places the organism in Eukaryota, Metazoa, Chordata, Actinopteri, Syngnathiformes, Syngnathidae.